UGGGGAAUCUUCCGCAAUGGACGAAAGUCUGACGGAGCAACGCCGCGUGAGUGAUGAAGGAUUUCGGUCUGUAAAGCUCUGUUGUUUAUGACGAACGUGCAGUGUGUGAACAAUGCAUUGCAAUGACGGUAGUAAACGAGGAAGCCACGGCUAACUACGUGCCAGCAGCCGCGGUAAUACGUAGGUGGCGAGCGUUGUCCGGAAUUAUUGGGCGUAAAGAGCAUGUAGGCGGCUUAAUAAGUCGAGCGUGAAAAUGCGGGGCUCAACCCCGUAUGGCGCUGGAAACUGUUAGGCUUGAGUGCAGGAGAGGAAAGGGGAAUUCCCAGUGUGCGGUGAAAUGCGUAGAUAUUGGGAGGAACACCAGUGGCGAAGGCGCCUUUCUGGACUGUGUCUGACGCUGAGAUGCGAAAGCCAGGGUAGCGAACGGG
This 428-nucleotide ribosomal RNA is filed under the name Acidobacteriota bacterium. Its description in RNAcentral is "Acidobacteria bacterium partial 16S ribosomal RNA". It matches the Rfam family "Bacterial small subunit ribosomal RNA", at positions 355 to 776 of the family's 1533-position model. The record is from RNAcentral. Lineage: Bacteria; Pseudomonadati; Acidobacteriota.